GGGGGGGGGGGGGGGGGGGGGGGGGGGGGGGGGGUCGGGCGGGAGCAGGGGGGGGCGUGCUGCGUGGCUGACGAGUGGCGGACGGGUGAGGAAUGUCUGGGAAACUGCCUGAUGGAGGGGGAUAACUACUGGAAACGGUAGCUACUACCGCAUAACGUCGCAAGACCAAAGAGGGGGACCUUCGGGCCUCUUGCCAUCGGAUGUGCCCAGAUGGGAUUAGCUAGUAGGUGGGGUAACGGCUCACCUAGGCGACGAUCCCUAGCUGGUCUGAGAGGAUGACCAGCCACACUGGAACUGAGACACGGUCCAGACUCCUACGGGAGGCAGCAGUGGGGAAUAUUGAACAAUGGGCGCAAGCCUGAUGCAGCCAUGCCGCGUGUAUGAAGAAGGCCUUCGGGUUGUAAAGUACUUUCAGCGGGGAGGAAGGGAGUAAAGUUAAUACCUUUGCUCAUUGACGUUACCCGCAGAAGAAGCACCGGCUAACUCCGUG
This 490-nucleotide ribosomal RNA is filed under the name uncultured bacterium. RNAcentral describes it as "partial 16S ribosomal RNA". It matches the Rfam family "Bacterial small subunit ribosomal RNA", at positions 39 to 507 of the family's 1533-position model. The record is from RNAcentral.